CACGUAGGGCGCAAGCGUUGUCCGGAAUUAUUGGGCGUAAAGAGCUCGUAGGUGGUUUGUUACGUCCGCUGUGAAAUCCUAGGGCUUAACCCUGGGCUUGCAGUGGAUACGGGCAGACUAGAGGUAGGUAGGGGAGACUGGAAUUCCUGGUGUAGCGGUGAAAUGCGCAGAUAUCAGGAGGAACACCGGUGGCGAAGGCGGGUCUCUGGGCCGAUAUUGACGCUGAGGAGCGAAAGCGUGGGGAGCGAACAGG
Molecule: ribosomal RNA, 253 nt
Filed under: uncultured bacterium
Lineage: Bacteria
Description: partial 16S ribosomal RNA
Rfam family: Bacterial small subunit ribosomal RNA
Source: RNAcentral